CCUACGGGUGGCUGCAGUAAGGAAUAUUGGUCAAUGGACGCAAGUCUGAACCAGCCAUGCCGCGUGGAGGAUGAAGGUCCUCUGGAUUGUAAACUUCUUUUAUUUGGGAAGAAACUCCCGAUUUCCAUCGGGAUUGACGGUACCAGAUGAAUAAGCACCGGCUAACUCCGUGCCAGCAGCCGCGGUAAUACGGAGGGUGCAAGCGUUAUCCGGAUUCACUGGUGCUAAGGUGGGCAGGGGAGGGCAGGUAGAAAUCUCCGGGCUUAACCCGGAAACUGCCAUUGAGACUAUUUGUCUUGAGUACUCUGGAGGUGCGCGGAAUAUGUCAUGUAGCGGUGAAAUGCUUAGAUAUGACAUAGAACACCCAUUGCGAAGGCAGCUCACUACGGAAAUAUUGACGCUGCGGCACGAAAGCGUGGGGAUCAAACAGGAUUAGAUACCCGUGUAGUC
RNAcentral lists this ribosomal RNA (450 nucleotides) under uncultured bacterium. RNAcentral's name for it is "partial 16S ribosomal RNA". It matches the Rfam family "Bacterial small subunit ribosomal RNA", at positions 338 to 795 of the family's 1533-position model. The record is from RNAcentral.